AUUGAACGCUGGCGGCAUGCCUUACACAUGCAAGUCGAACGGCAGCACGGGAGCAAUCCUGGUGGCGAGUGGCGAACGGGUGAGUAAUGCAUCGGAACGUGCCAUUGAGUGGGGGAUAACGUAGCGAAAGUUACGCUAAUACCGCAUAUUCUGUGCGCAGGAAAGCAGGGGAUCGCAAGACCUUGCGCUCUUUGAGCGGCCGAUGUCAGAUUAGCUAGUUGGUGGGGUAAAGGCUCACCAAGGCGACGAUCUGUAGCGGGUCUGAGAGGAUGAUCCGCCACACUGGGACUGAGACACGGCCCAGACUCCUACGGGAGGCAGCAGUGGGGAAUUUUGCGCAAUGGACGAAAGUCUGACGCAGCAACGCCGCGUGGGUGAUGAAGGUCUUCGGAUUGUAAAACCCUGUCGCCAGGGACGAAGGGUGAGGUGUGAAUAGCGCCUUAC
This 444-nucleotide ribosomal RNA is filed under the name uncultured bacterium. Its description in RNAcentral is "bacterial SSU rRNA". It matches the Rfam family "Bacterial small subunit ribosomal RNA", at positions 30 to 473 of the family's 1533-position model. The record is from RNAcentral.